AUUGAACGCUGGCGGCAUGCUUUACACAUGCAAGUCGAACGGUAACAGGGAGAAGCUUGCUUUUCUGCUGACGAGUGGCGAACGGGUGAGUAAUACAUCGGAACGUGCCCUGUAGUGGGGGAUAACUACUCGAAAGAGUGGCUAAUACCGCAUACAACCUGAGGGUAAAAGUGGGGGACCGCAAGGCCUCACGCUAUAGGAGCGGCCGAUGGAAGAUUAGGUAGUUGGUAGGGUAAAGGCCUACCAAGCCGACGAUCUUUAGCGGGUCUGAGAGGACGAUCCGCCACACUGGGACUGAGACACGGCCCAGACUCCUACGGGAGGCAGCAGUGGGGAAUUUUGGACAAUGGGGGCAACCCUGAUCCAGCAAUGCCGCGUGAGUGAAGAAGGCCUUCGGGUUGCAAAGCUCUUUUGUUUGGGAAGAAAUCCCUAAGGAUA
Molecule: ribosomal RNA, 438 nt
Filed under: uncultured bacterium
Lineage: Bacteria
Description: bacterial SSU rRNA
Rfam family: Bacterial small subunit ribosomal RNA
Source: RNAcentral